This 465-nucleotide ribosomal RNA is filed under the name Vreelandella stevensii. Its description in RNAcentral is "partial 16S ribosomal RNA". It matches the Rfam family "Bacterial small subunit ribosomal RNA", at positions 338 to 795 of the family's 1533-position model. Lineage: Bacteria; Pseudomonadati; Pseudomonadota; Gammaproteobacteria; Oceanospirillales; Halomonadaceae. The record is from RNAcentral.
CCUACGGGUGGCAGCAGUGGGGAAUAUUGGACAAUGGGCGAAAGCCUGAUCCAGCCAUGCCGCGUGUGUGAAGAAGGCCUUCGGGUGGUAAAGCACUUUCAGUGGGGAAGAAAGCCUUGGGGCUAAUACCCUCGAGGAAGGACAUCACCCACAGAAGAAGCACCGGCUAACUCCGUGCCAGCAGCCGCGGUAAUACGGAGGGUGCGAGCGUUAAUCGGAAUUACUGGGCGUAAAGCGCGCGUAGGCGGUCUGAUAAGCCGGUUGUGAAAGCCCCGGGCUCAACCUGGGAACGGCAUCCGGAACUGUCAGGCUAGAGUGCAGGAGAGGAAGGUAGAAUUCCCGGUGUAGCGGUGAAAUGCGUAGAGAUCGGGAGGAAUACCAGUGGCGAAGGCGGCCUUCUGGACUGACACUGACGCUGAGGUGCGAAAGCGUGGGUAGCAAACAGGAUUAGAUACCCGUGUAGUC